ACGCACGCUGGCGGCGUGCUUAACACAUGCAAGUCGAACGGAAAGGCCCUGCUUUUGUGGGGUGCUCGAGUGGCGAACGGGUGAGUAACACGUGAGUAACCUGCCCUUGACUUUGGGAUAACUUCAGGAAACUGGGGCUAAUACCGGAUAGGAGCUCCUGCUGCAUGGUGGGGGUUGGAAAGUUUCGGCGGUUGGGGAUGGACUCGCGGCUUAUCAGCUUGUUGGUGGGGUAGUGGCUUACCAAGGCUUUGACGGGUAGCCGGCCUGAGAGGGUGACCGGCCACAUUGGGACUGAGAUACGGCCCAGACUCCUACGGGAGGCAGCAGUGGGGAAUAUUGCACAAUGGGCGGAAGCCUGAUGCAGCAACGCCGUGUGCGGGAUGACGGCCUUCGGGUUGUAAACCGCUUUCGCCUGUGACGAAGCGUGAGUGACGGUAAUGGGUAAAGAAGCACCGGCUAACUACGUG
Molecule: ribosomal RNA, 467 nt
Filed under: uncultured bacterium
Lineage: Bacteria
Description: partial 16S ribosomal RNA
Rfam family: Bacterial small subunit ribosomal RNA
Source: RNAcentral